RNAcentral lists this small nuclear RNA (103 nucleotides) under Meriones unguiculatus (Mongolian gerbil). The record is from RNAcentral. Lineage: Eukaryota; Metazoa; Chordata; Mammalia; Rodentia; Muridae.
ACGCUCACUUCAGCAGCACGUAUGCUAAAACUGGAACUUUACAGAGAUUAUCGUGACUCCUGCACAAGGAUAGCAUGCAAUUCGUGAAGCAUCCUAUUAGAAA